CGCCAAUCGUCACCUUCGUCGCCGCAGUCUCCGACCACCUUUGACGCCGCUAGCUAGACAGCCUGCAGACUGCUCCAUCUAGGUGACUGACUGGGAAAAACCACUCUGUGGGGGGGGGGGGGGUUCUUACUCCAGGCAGCGGCUAAUGAAGUCGUGGAACUCCGAGUCCUGGCUCCCGAGUGCCAGGUAUAGGGAGUGACUGCCUGGGACCCUGCUUUGUCCGGACAUCAAAGGCAUCCCCGAACCAUCUGCAGGGAUGAUGCAGACCAGGUAAAGCCCACUGAACUAUUGCCUCUUUUUAAGAGGCGACCAGGCAAAA
Lethenteron reissneri (Far Eastern brook lamprey) is the source of this 319-nucleotide long non-coding RNA. RefSeq lists it as uncharacterized. The record is from RefSeq and is a predicted model, not a curated record. NCBI's taxonomy places the organism in Eukaryota, Metazoa, Chordata, Hyperoartia, Petromyzontiformes, Petromyzontidae.